UAAUUUUUUUUUAAGUGGUUAGGUUGGAAAUUAAUUUUAUUCAAGAAGUUAGACUUGCUUUUUGAAGUUGCUAUCUUGGAACUACUUCUAAAGUUAGAAUUGGCUUAACUUUAGUGUAAUAUUUUGUAGUGUUGGCCAGAUAAAAAUCUUGUAUUGAGUCUAUUACGAAGGAAUUAGUGGACAUGGCUAUUUUAUUUUAUUUUUUUUAAAAUGACAUCUCCGUAAGACUUCCUCUGCAUUCUGCCCUUUCUCAAAGUGAUUGACGAAUCUUGACUUGUGCUUGAACGAACUAGUAGCUGUUUUUGAGGGUUUGAAAUACUCAGCUUUGCGGUUGCAUCUUGGUUGGGAUGCUUUUGAUUGUAGAGUACUCCCAAUGAUUAUUUCAAUCCUUUAUCCGAUUAUGUUGAUGAUGAUAAAAUAGUGUGGCAUCCGAGUCAACACGAAAAGUAUAUCGUUCAGUCUGCAUAUAAAUUAUGCAUGACAACAAUGUUGGAUACUUUAGAGCUGCGGGAGGAACGGAAUCUGAAGGUUACCCCAAAAGUUAAGAACUUUGUGUGAAGAGUCGUUAGAAUAGAAAUGUGUUAGCGAGAUGAGUUUGCCAUUUUGUCUACCAUAAUCAAGUUGGAAUAGAAAUGUGUUAGCAAGAUAAA
Molecule: long non-coding RNA, 650 nt
Organism: Lathyrus oleraceus (garden pea)
Lineage: Eukaryota; Viridiplantae; Streptophyta; Magnoliopsida; Fabales; Fabaceae
Exons: 2
Source: RefSeq, a predicted model, not a curated record